AAAUGUGAGGGUUAUCUGGCUGUAACAUAUAUCACCCAUUGAUUGACAAGGUUGAGUCAGUGGAUCCAACCAGCUGGGCAGGUGUCCCCUUCCUCCCUCACUGCUUCAUGUGCAUCUGUCCCAAAAUUGUACGCUCACAGAGGACAACUUGCCCUGAUGGAGAAGGACUAUUCUUUGGUCAAGGGUAUACUAGUAGCUUCACUGUCCUGCCAGAACUUCCAAACAAGCUCUCAGAGUCCAGUUAGCUGUGGUUGCUUUGUGUGCCACCAUGCCU
RNAcentral lists this small nuclear RNA (274 nucleotides) under Chinchilla lanigera (long-tailed chinchilla). RNAcentral describes it as "7SK RNA (ENSCLAG00000021689.1)". It matches the Rfam family "7SK RNA", at positions 1 to 283 of the family's 331-position model. Rfam says of the family: 7SK was discovered as an abundant small nuclear RNA in the mid-70s but a possible function has only recently been suggested. Two independent studies have found that 7SK RNA binds the CDK9/cyclin T complex (known as elongation factor P-TEFb). P-TEFb activates transcription by phosphorylating the C-terminal domain of RNA polymerase II. Lineage: Eukaryota; Metazoa; Chordata; Mammalia; Rodentia; Chinchillidae. The record is from RNAcentral.